Molecule: transfer RNA, 72 nt
Filed under: Camelus bactrianus (Bactrian camel)
Lineage: Eukaryota; Metazoa; Chordata; Mammalia; Artiodactyla; Camelidae
Also listed under: 2 other names
Rfam family: tRNA
About the family: Transfer RNA (tRNA) molecules are approximately 80 nucleotides in length.
Source: Rfam by way of RNAcentral
GAGGGUAUAGCUCAGUGGUAGAGGUUGUGCUUAGCCUGUGUGAGGUCCUGGGUUCAAACCCCAGCACCCCCA